GCGGCUGUAGCUCAGUGGUAGAGCGCUUGCCUAGCAUGCAGUGAGGCACUGGGUUCGAGUCUCAGCACCACA
Molecule: transfer RNA, 72 nt
Filed under: Marmota monax (woodchuck)
Lineage: Eukaryota; Metazoa; Chordata; Mammalia; Rodentia; Sciuridae
Rfam family: tRNA
About the family: Transfer RNA (tRNA) molecules are approximately 80 nucleotides in length.
Source: Rfam by way of RNAcentral